RNAcentral lists this long non-coding RNA (1011 nucleotides) under Oryctolagus cuniculus (rabbit). Its description in RNAcentral is "lncRNA (ENSOCUG00000031157.1)". The record is from RNAcentral. Lineage: Eukaryota; Metazoa; Chordata; Mammalia; Lagomorpha; Leporidae.
GCAGGCCCUCGGUCUCAGCCCCACCCUUCCCCUGAACGGUGUCCUCACGAAACAGAAGCCAGGGUGCCGGAGCCCAGGCUCCCCAGGGAGCAGGCCUCUCCCACGCUGGGGAGGGGGAAGUCUCCACACAGGGGGAGGAGCCGGCCCGACGCCCGCCUGGUCCCGUGUGCCAUUGCCAUCAGCGACUUCGUCCUCCGCUCCGUGUCAGCUGCCUUGCUGCCCUGGGCCUCAGUACAGGGCCUAGCACCCGCGCAGGCUCAGGAAGUGUGUUGGCUGGAGGAGGAGGGCGUGGCGGGCAGGGGGCGGGCCCCGCUUCCUCCCUCUCCUCCCCGAGCGCUCCUGCUGGGGUUCCCUCCUCUGGCAGGGGCAGGGUGUGCUUCCAGCCCGGGGACACGCCGCCCAGCCCGGCUCCUCUGUUGAGAAGCUGCGUGGCUCGGGGGAACGCACAGGCGGCUGGGGUCCCGUGGGCAGUCGUCCAGUGUCUGCAGCAUGAUGCGGAUGCUGGGAGGUGCACAGGCGUGGCAAGUGGUGGGAGCUCCACAAGCAGAGCUUUGAGGGCGGCCCCGCACCCUGCCCUGCCCUCGUUCCACCCCUGCCUUGUCUCCCAGAACUUCCGGGAAGGUCUACAUGCCCCGGACUCUCCGUCAGGUACAUACGAGGCACCUGCUACGUAUGCUAAGGGCUGGGGAUAUGGAGAAGGCAGAACCCUGCCCUCGGGCCUCUCUGCUCCUCUAUUCUGCUUUUUCCUUCUCAUCCCCCUCCAAUGCCCCUCAGACCUCAGGGCACUCGUCUGCAGGGUCUCUCAGAGUGGGGGUGGGGGCCUCACUCACCCCAGUGCCCUGCCUGAGCCCGGGGGUCUGCAGAGCUGCAGGGCUGGAGUGUCCUCACGGUCGCUCUCCCUGGAGUUCCUGGCUCCUGGCUUUGACCUUGUCCAGCUCCUAUGACUGCAAGCAUUUGGGAAGUGAACCAGCAUAUAGAGUUCUCUCUCCCCCUGCCCCUCUCAGAUAAAAA